CAGAUCUGCAUUGGGCCCUGGCCAGCGAUAAAUUUAAAUUGGAGGGGCUUUUGCAAAGGAAAAAGAAAGAGAGGAAUAAAAAUAGAGGAGGUAGAAGUGGAAUUGAGGAGGUAGGAGAAGUCUGUAGAGCAGAGAAGCAGGGUAUGAAAGGGUGAACCUUAUGAGAGAGAGGAGAGCAUUCCUUGGUUUGAGGUUAUAGAAAUCUGGCUUUGUGAUUUUGAUUCCUUUGCAGAAACAUCAGUACUUUGUUUCAGAAAAGGGGUCCAAGCCAAAGGGGAACUAGAAGACAUCUUGGCCUAUUAUAUCCAAACUUUAAUCAUGUUUUCAUUGCCAAAGUACAUGUACACAUGAAUUAAUUGUUAUUUUAUUCACUGAACAAUAUAAAGUGUUCAUUGAAUAAAAUAACAUGUGCACAGACAUUGUUCAGAGCACUUUAUAAGUAUUAACAUCUGUAAUAUCUGUUUUAUGAAUGAAAAAGUGGUAGUUGUCCCCUUUUUUAUAAAAGUAAUAAAUGCAAGAGUGGAAGCUAUAGCUGGAAAAAAUUAGUGCCAAUGAAUAGGCCACUCUUAACCUCACUUUAACUAAUGAGCAUAUACUUUUGUAUCCUGCUUAUAAAUAAACUUAUCAUCAUAGCAUUAGUAUUUUCCUGUAUUAAUACAUUUUGAAAUCAUGAUUAUUAACAAUCAUGUAGUAUUGUAUGUACAUGGGAACAUAAUCUUACCAUUAUUUUAAUGUUGGUCAUUGCUUUCUGAUUUACAUAAUGCAGUUUAGCAAAUGUUCUGCUUUUUUAAAAAGAUGGACACAACAUCUUUAUUUAUUUUAUGUAUUUAUUUUUUAUGUGGUGCUGAGGGUCGAACCCAAUACCUCACAAGUGCGAGGCAAGCACUCUACCGCUGAGCUGUAACCCCAGCCCCGAAUGUUCUGCUUUUUAAUAUCAAGACUUUUCAUUUCAGUUCCCUUUUUAAGCUUUAAAUUCCAAUGCAUUUGUAAGCUCUACAAAGUGCUAAAUGGCAAGUGAGAUAUAGGAUUCAUAUCAUUGAUGAGCUGGGGAUUCAACAAGAAAUACAAUUACUAGAAUAUAACUUGAUCAUUCCCAUAUCUAGGUACAAACCAUGGCAAUACUAUUUGCCUACUCAACAUGUACUCCUUUGCCUUCUCACAGCACUAAAAAUGUGUGAAUAAUACGAUUUUGAGAAAUAUGACACAUCAUGUUUUUCACACAUUUUCC
RNAcentral lists this long non-coding RNA (1228 nucleotides) under Marmota monax (woodchuck). The record is from RNAcentral. Lineage: Eukaryota; Metazoa; Chordata; Mammalia; Rodentia; Sciuridae.